UACAGAGGAGCCAAGCGUUGUCCGGAUUGACUGGGCGUAAAGCGCACGCAGGCGGUUGCGCGCGUGGGGUGUGAAAUCUGGCCGCUUAACGGCCAGGCGCCAUCCCAUACGGCGCGACUGGAGUGAUGCAGAGGUCGAUGGAAUUGCCGGUGUAGUGGUGAAAUGCGUAGAUAUCGUCUGGAACGCCAAAGGUGAAGACAGUCUGCUGGGGACUUGCUGACGCUGAGACACGAAAGCCAGGGGAGCGAACGGG
Molecule: ribosomal RNA, 253 nt
Filed under: uncultured bacterium
Lineage: Bacteria
Description: partial 16S ribosomal RNA
Rfam family: Bacterial small subunit ribosomal RNA
Source: RNAcentral